GACGAACGCUGGCGGCGUGCUUAACACAUGCAAGUCGAGCGAGGCCCCUCCUUCGGGAGGGUGUCCUAGCGGCGAACGGGUGAGUAACACGUGGGCAACCUGCCCUCAGCUCUGGGAUAACUCCGGGAAACCGGGGCUAAUACCGGAUACGACCUCCACGGGCAUCUGCGGAGGUGGAAAGUUUUUCGGCUGAGGAUGGGCCCGCGGCCUAUCAGCUAGUUGGUGGGGUAGUGGCCCACCAAGGCGACGACGGGUAGCCGGCCUGAGAGGGCGACCGGCCACACUGGGUCUGAGACACGGCCCAGACUCCUACGGGAGGCAGCAGUGGGGAAUAUUGCGCAAUGGGCGAAAGCCUGACGCAGCGACGCCGCGUGAGGGACGAAGGCCUUCGGGUUGUAAACCUCUUUCAGCAGGGACGAAGCGAAAGUGACGGUACCUGCAGAAGAAGCACCGGCCAACUACGUG
Molecule: ribosomal RNA, 465 nt
Filed under: uncultured bacterium
Lineage: Bacteria
Description: partial 16S ribosomal RNA
Rfam family: Bacterial small subunit ribosomal RNA
Source: RNAcentral